This 24-nucleotide microRNA is filed under the name Branchiostoma floridae (Florida lancelet). Its description in RNAcentral is "bfl-miR-4881". The record is from miRBase by way of RNAcentral. Lineage: Eukaryota; Metazoa; Chordata; Leptocardii; Amphioxiformes; Branchiostomatidae.
AGUAGAAAUUUGCCAAAGUAGUGU